CACUAGAUGGGAAAGUGAGCAGCUACAGGGCCACUCCUCCAUCACCUCUGAGCCUUGCCCUCUUCGUCUGGCUCUAUCUCAAUGUCAACACAUGACAAGGAUCAACUAUGCAAAUGUUAAGGGGAAAAGAGGUCCUGCCUUCAGCCUCUGCCUGCACAACCCUGAAAAAAAUGAAUAGCUGACAGCGAGUGAAAGAAAGUUCUUAUGUGGAAAACAUCAGUUCCUAAGAUCAACCCAUCCCUGGAGGCACUAGAGGCCAGGCUGGACAGGGCCAAGGACAACCUG
Molecule: long non-coding RNA, 285 nt
Filed under: Meleagris gallopavo (turkey)
Lineage: Eukaryota; Metazoa; Chordata; Aves; Galliformes; Phasianidae
Description: lncRNA (ENSMGAG00000020495.1)
Source: RNAcentral